GAAGAACAUUAUAUUAUAAGCUGAAAUAUUAAAUAGAAUUCCAGCUUGUGAACACCAGGCAAAACAAUUAUAUGUAGUUAUCAAUACACUUUAACUGGCUCAAUGACUGUACAUUCAAUCAUUUGUGGGGUUGUGUGUGAUCUUCACACUAUGUAGGUUUUCUGGGGACUUUUUGGACCGCGUUUUUUUCUUCUGGGAUUAGAACUGAUAGCACAGGAGAAGGCGUUGAGAAGCUCGGAGUCUUCUUGGGAAAUGAGAAUCUUAGCAGAACUUGGAUUGGCAAGGAGGAGUUUGGCGACGAGGUAUCCAGCUAUAGACCAAGUUUGGAAAAGGCGCGCUUGUUUCCCUAUGAACCGUGCCUUUUUAGUGUCGUAAUAUUCUGGCCACUUGUCUUGUGAGAUGCGCUUUUCUGCAACUUCAACAGCUUUUGCAGCAAUCUCAGGUCUAUUCAUCUUAAUACUAGCAACAGCCAGCUGCCAGAGUAAAGUUGGCCAGGAACCUCCAUUAUGGUAGGACCAAGGAGUAUUCUUGGGAUCACAUCCUGUAAUUAUCUUCCACUCCUGACCCUCAAGAGCAGGGUAGCAUAUUUUAAAAGGCAUAUCAGCUACCAGAUCUGUCCACUUGGCCUCAAUGAGAUCCAAUAUAGCAUGUGAUUGAUCAUCUGUUGUCAGACUGCAGACUAUAGACCACAAGUUUCCUAGAGAAAAGAAUCGAAAAUCCAUGUGAGCAGGUUGCAAAUUUCCAAUCAAGUAUCCUCCUUUACUUGGCAUCCA
RNAcentral lists this unclassified non-coding RNA (773 nucleotides) under Hevea brasiliensis (rubber tree). Lineage: Eukaryota; Viridiplantae; Streptophyta; Magnoliopsida; Malpighiales; Euphorbiaceae. The record is from RNAcentral.